Molecule: ribosomal RNA, 451 nt
Filed under: uncultured bacterium
Lineage: Bacteria
Description: partial 16S ribosomal RNA
Rfam family: Bacterial small subunit ribosomal RNA
Source: RNAcentral
AGCGAACGCUGGCGGAAUGCUUAACACAUGCAAGUCGCACGGGGGCUUCGGCCUUAGUGGCGGACGGGUGAGUAACGCGUAGGAAUGUGUCCGAGGGUGGGGGAUAACGUUGGGAAACUGACGCUAAUACCGCAUAUCUCCUGAGGGAGAAAGCCGUGAGGUGCCCACGGAGCAGCCUGCGUACGAUUAGCUAGUUGGUUAGGUAAAGGCUGACCAAGGCGACGAUCGUUAGCUGGUCUGAGAGGAUGAUCAGCCACACUGGAACUGAGACACGGUCCAGACUCCUACGGGAGGCAGCAGUGGGGAAUAUUGGACAAUGGGCGCAAGCCUGAUCCAGCAAUUCCGCGUGGGUGAAGAAGGUCUUCGGAUUGUAAAGCCCUUUCGUUGGGGACGAUGAUGACGGUACCCAAAGAAGAAGCCCCGGCUAACUUCGUGCCAGCAGCCGCCGUAA